AUAUCUCACGCGGUUGUUGUUGCGUUGACCUAACUCGCUUGUUCUUUUUCUUUUAUAAAGUGAAGUGAUAAACUUUCAUAAACUCAUGAAAAGUCAAUAAAAGUUAGAAUUGGAUACAACCCCCUUAGGUUAGAUUGUUUAUCAUUUUCAUUUUUUAAAAGUGUUUUGUCAAAAUAAAUUAAAAAAUUAUUAUUAAAAGGAUUUGGAUAUAUUGAUUUACUAAUGUUUUAUAACUAAAUUUAUUUUAAUAAUGUUUCAUUUCUC
This 264-nucleotide long non-coding RNA is filed under the name Prunus persica (peach). RNAcentral describes it as "long non-coding RNA (PPER_LNC008322)". Lineage: Eukaryota; Viridiplantae; Streptophyta; Magnoliopsida; Rosales; Rosaceae. The record is from RNAcentral.